This 484-nucleotide ribosomal RNA is filed under the name uncultured bacterium. RNAcentral's name for it is "partial 16S ribosomal RNA". It matches the Rfam family "Bacterial small subunit ribosomal RNA", at positions 28 to 507 of the family's 1533-position model. The record is from RNAcentral.
AUUGAACGCUGGCGGCAUGCUUUACACAUGCAAGUCGAACGGCAGCGCGGGCUUCGGCCUGGCGGCGAGUGGCGAACGGGUGAGUAAUACAUCGGAACGUGCCCAGUCGUGGGGGAUAGCUCGGCGAAAGCCGGAUUAAUACCGCAUACGACCUGAGGGUGAAAGCGGGGGAUCUUCGGACCUCGCGCUCUUGGAGCGGCCGAUGGCAGGUUAGCUAGUUGGUGGGGUAAAGGCCUACCAAGGCGACGAUCUGUAGCUGGUCUGCGAGGACGACCACCCACACGGGGACUGAGACACGGCCCAGACGCCUACGGGAGGCAGCAGUGGGGAAUGUUGGACAAUGGGCGAAAGCCUGAUCCAGCAAUGCCGCGUGUGUGAUGAAGGCCUUCGGGUUGUAAAGCACUUUUGGCGGGAACGAAAAGGACUGUGCCAAUACCACGGUUCGAUGACGGUACCCGCAGAAUAAGCACCGGCUAACUACGUG